This 1578-nucleotide long non-coding RNA is filed under the name Homo sapiens (human). Its description in RNAcentral is "HSALNT0089476". The record is from RNAcentral. Lineage: Eukaryota; Metazoa; Chordata; Mammalia; Primates; Hominidae.
AGUGAAUAUCAAUUUUCAUUAAGUAAAUAACCCAUGCUUUUCUUUGACUCAAUACUAAUCUUCAGAGAUGUUAACUACUGGACUCCUAUGCUAUAUGCAUGUUGAGGCGAGUCAAAAGAGAAGAAGGAAGUAACUGAGGACAGCCCAGAGAAAAACCCUAGGAGGGAUAUAGGUGGCAUAAAGUUAAAAAAGAAAUGACUACUGAGUAGUAGAAGAAGUAAAGAUGGAAAGGUAACUACGGUUGGGAAGAGUUGUAUAACAUUGCUAUUUUCUAUUCACUUUUCUUUUUAAAGUUUUACUGGUCUAACAUAAUGCCAAGUAGGUAUUUCUGAGGUGUUUUGUUUCUAGUAUCAUCACCAUUUAUUCAGUAUACUUCAGUCUAAUGGAAUGGCAGGAACAGUAAACCAAUAAUUAUAAUGAAUAUUAUAAAUGCUGUAAAGGAGCUCUGAGGAGCUACAGGCACAAAAGCACCUAUCUCAGCUGAAAAUUAUAAAUGGUGGUGGGGAUGAUGGUGUGUAUUUUAGGCAGAAGUUACCAAAGAUACAGAGACAGAGCAUGAUGCAUUUAACGAAAUAGCAUCUAUAUCAGAUUAGCAGGAGAACAGGAUACAGGUAGAGGGGAGUGGCAGAUGAGACUAGAGUGGUAGCAUGGGCCAGGCCAUGGUAAGAAAUUCAUGAUGUAACCAUGGGAAGUCACCAAAGAUAAGGAAGACAAGAACAUUUCAGAUUAGUGUCUCAAAAGGGAAGAGAAGCACAAGAUGCAAGGUUGGGAGACCAACUGCAAGUCAAAACAGUUUAGGACUCUAGAUGAUAGGAAAGGGGGAUCUGAACUAGGGCUAAUAAAAAGGAAAGAUAUUAAGAAAGUUAUUUGAAAGAUAUUUAGGAGUUGGAAUCAAGAAAUGAGAAAGGAGGAGUCUAGGAGGGUUCCCAGGUUUCUGGAUAGAGCAAAUGGACAGAAAUGCUAGGUACUAGCAGUAAGAUCCUGUGAUCCCCUGCACAGAAGCUUAACACUACACAGAGAAAUGGAGAAUAGGAUGUCACAACAUUGAUCCAACUUGUAUUAUUAUGCCUGGAGGCAUAGAUCAGUAGUGGAGAUGAACUGCUGCCUUAUUCUUAAUUACUAUCCAGGCCCUCAAACUUUUACAAUUCUUGAUAACCAAUUUGGUUGUGCAAAAGUUCUACCAUAGACCAAGAGCAACAACCUUGACAAUCACCUUAGAAAUAUUUCCUGUCCCUCUUCUGAGUACACAGUCAGCAACAGAAAACAGAUUUCUAUUUUACAGAAUUUUUUGUGUUUUUUUUUUUUGAGACAGAGUCUCUCACUCUGUUGCCUAGGCUGGAAGUGGGCAACAGAGCAAGGCUCUGUCUCAAAAAAACAAAACAAAACAAAACAAAACCAAACCCUAAAAAAACAAGCAGAAAAGUUAUUGUAGACUAAAAUUAUGCAUUCAAAAGAAGGCAGAAGAAUUCUCUUUUGAUUAAGAGAAAAUAAGACUAUGUUAAAGACUUGGCUGUCCCAAGAAUUACAUCCUUAUUGUAAGUUGAGUUAUAGAAGUGAUCAGCUAGGACAGCCUUUUCC